This 424-nucleotide ribosomal RNA is filed under the name uncultured Actinomycetales bacterium. RNAcentral's name for it is "bacterial SSU rRNA". It matches the Rfam family "Bacterial small subunit ribosomal RNA", at positions 28 to 453 of the family's 1533-position model. Lineage: Bacteria; Bacillati; Actinomycetota; Actinomycetes; Actinomycetales. The record is from RNAcentral.
GACGAACGCUGGCGGCGUGCUUAACACAUGCAAGUCGAACGGAAAGGUCUCUUCGGAGAUACUCGAGUGGCGAACGGGUGAGUAACACGUGGGUGAUCUACCCUGCACUUCGGGAUAAGCCUGGGAAACUGGGUCUAAUACCGGAUAGGACCACGGGAUGCAUGUCCUGUGGUGGAAAGCGUUUAGCGGUGUGGGAUGGGCCCGCGGCCUAUCAGCUUGUUGGUGGGGUGAUGGCCUACCAAGGCGACGACGGGUAGCCGGCCUGAGAGGGUGUCCGGCCACACUGGGACUGAGAUACGGCCCAGACUCCUACGGGAGGCAGCAGUGGGGGAUAUUGCACAAUGGGCGCAAGCCUGAUGCAGCGACGCCGCGUGGGGGAUGACGGCCUCGGUUGUAACGUACACUCUACCACUCGACGAAGGUU